GAUGCCAGGGGCAAAAUAUCCGAGCCCACAUGAGCUUGCUCAUAGUGGGUGAAUGAUCUUGGGCCCCGCCCCGAUAUGAGCAUAAAAGUGGGAUGUAUAUCCCGCGAUAUGCGAAUAUUGGGUAGGAUUGCGAAAGUGCGCAGCACAGAACAAUCCACAGGC
Molecule: small RNA, 162 nt
Filed under: uncultured Lachnoclostridium sp.
Lineage: Bacteria; Bacillati; Bacillota; Clostridia; Lachnospirales; Lachnospiraceae
Description: Clostridiales-1 RNA
Rfam family: Clostridiales-1 RNA
Source: RNAcentral